RNAcentral lists this ribosomal RNA (412 nucleotides) under uncultured bacterium. RNAcentral's name for it is "bacterial SSU rRNA". It matches the Rfam family "Bacterial small subunit ribosomal RNA", at positions 8 to 434 of the family's 1533-position model. The record is from RNAcentral.
AGAGUUUGAUCCUGGCUCAGAAUCAACGCUGGCGGCGCGCUUAACGCAUGCAAGUCGAGCGAGAAAGGGGAGCAAUCCCUGAGUAAAGCGGCGUACGGGUGAGUAACACGUGGGUCAUAUACCUCUUAGUGGGGAAUAACCCUGGGAAACCGGGGCUAAUACCGCAUGAGCCUGAAAAGGGAAAGCAGCAAUGCGCUGAGAGAGUAGCCCGCGGCCGAUUAGCUAGUUGGUGAGGUAAUGGCCCACCAAGGCGACGAUCGGUAGCCGGCCUGAGAGGGCACACGGCCACACUGGCACUGAAACACGGGCCAGACUCCUACGGGAGGCAGCAGUGGGGAAUCUUGCACAAUGGGGGAAACCCUGAUGCAGCGACGCCGCGUGAGCGAUGAAGCCCCUCGGGGUGUAAAGCUCU